GAUGAACGCUGGCGGCGUGCCUAAUACAUGCAAGUCGAGCGAACAGACGAGGAGCUUGCUCCUCUGACGUUAGCGGCGGACGGGUGAGUAACCCGUGGAUAACCUACCUAUAAGACUGGGAUAACUUCGGGAAACCGGAGCUAAUACCGGAUAAUAUAUUGAACCGCAUGGUUCAAUAGUGAAAGACGGUUUUGCUGUCACUUAUAGAUGGAUCCGCGCCGCAUUAGCUAGUUGGUAAGGUAACGGCUUACCAAGGCGACGAUGCGUAGCCGACCUGAGAGGGUGAUCGGCCACAAUGGAACUGAGACACGGUCCAGACUCCGACGGGAGGCAGCAGUAGGGAAUCUUCCGCAAUGGGCGAAAGCCUGACGGAGCAACGCCGCGUGAGUGAUGAAGGUCUUCGGAUCGUAAAACUCUGUUAUUAGGGAAGAACAAAUGUGUAAGUAACUAUGCACGUCUUGACGGUACCUAAUCAGAAAGCCACGGCUAACUACGUG
RNAcentral lists this ribosomal RNA (497 nucleotides) under uncultured bacterium. RNAcentral describes it as "partial 16S ribosomal RNA". It matches the Rfam family "Bacterial small subunit ribosomal RNA", at positions 28 to 507 of the family's 1533-position model. The record is from RNAcentral.